This 325-nucleotide ribosomal RNA is filed under the name soil fungal sp. DM068. RNAcentral describes it as "eukaryotic LSU rRNA". It matches the Rfam family "Eukaryotic large subunit ribosomal RNA", at positions 144 to 468 of the family's 3401-position model. Lineage: Eukaryota; Fungi. The record is from RNAcentral.
UGUAAUUUAAAGAAGCGUUUUCGGUGNCAGCCUGGGUAUAAAUCCUUUGGAAUAGGGUAUCAUAGAGGGUGAGAAUCCCGUCUUUGANCUAGUGCAUGCUACUAUGUGAUACGUUUUCAAAGAGUCGAGUUGUUUGGGAAUGCAGCUCAAAAUGGGUGGGAAAUUUCAUCUAAAGCUAAAUAUUGGCGAGAGACCGAUAGCGAACAAGUACCGUGAGGGAAAGAUGAAAAGAACUUUGAAAAGAGAGNUAAACAGCGCGUGAAAUUGUUGAAAGGGAAACGUUUGACACCANCCAUGUGGGGNAAAAUCAGUCUUUUGCAUUGGG